CAUAAUUAAUGUCUUUAUUUUCAUUUAUCAUUAUUAGAGUUUAAUUUGUUAUUAAUUGUAACAUACUCCACGCAAUCUGUUAUGAGGUUGUUACCUCCCUAAUUGUAUAUAUAUACAAUAAUAAAGAGUGUCAAUGGCUCAUAGGUCAUUAGCCCCAAAUACCACUGUGUUCAUUUUCCUCCUACCUCAUUCUUCAUCGUCGACGUCAUGUCUUCAACCUCUGAGGUAAUCUCAUCCAAUAUGGUAUCAGAUGGUGUUGUUGAUCCUACGGUCACAGCUCCGUUGCAUCCUUUGGGUACUCCGAUUCCGACGAAUAUCGUAUCUGUUCCGAUGAUCACUCACCCGAUGGCAACAAUGGGCUACAUCAAUAACACUUCUGCACAUUCAAUUCCUAUACUCAACUACACAGGAAACACCUCAUCAAUAUUAGAGUAUAAACAAUAUCUUGAAUCGGUUGUAAAAUCAGUUUAACAAAUUCAAUUGUGUAUGUUGUACAUAAAUACAUAACAAUAGUCGAAUAUAACACAUAACGAUUACAACAAUCAUUUUGGGAAACUAAGUAAUCGCAAUAUGGUAUCAGUUAUUAGGCGAUCGUUACAGAUUAUUGGCAUUGUUUCGACGAUGAUAAGUGUUGCUGAUCUUCCAGAGAGAGCUCCGUUCAAACCUAUCAAAAUCAAGCACCACCAGGCCGGAAAACUCACCAAUGAUAACUUCUUCACAUGGCAGGUGCAAAUCAAAACUCUUCUAAAGGGAUAUAAUCUUCUUUCAUACGUGGAUGAAUGGAUCGUGCUUGAUAACGAUCCGAAAAUUCAGCAAGAUCAAUUGCUUUUGGAGUAGAUCUCCUCCACACUUCACACCGGCGUCUUAGCAUAAAUCGCAAGCGUCCAAACUUCUGUCGAGGCUUGGACAUAGCUAUAGCAGUUGCAUGCGUCGUUUUUGGGUUCUAGGGUGUUGCAGAUCCGGAAGCAACUUCAAAUAAUAAAGAAUUGGGAUCUCUUAAUCGAUGCCUAUUUAAUCAAAAUCCCAAGGUUAGUGGAUACCUUGAGGACGGCCGGAGUAAGUGUUUCAAGAGGAGAAAUCAUAUUGUAUAUUCUUGGGGAAUUGGAUACUGACUACGAAGCUAUAGUUGCGGUAAUUUCAUCUCAAUUAGAGAUGAUUACUCUUCCAACAAUACACACGCUUCUCACAAAUCAAGAAAUUCGAAACUCAAAGGUUAGGAACUCUCAGUCGGCUUUUUCAAUUAAUGCAAGUAAUUACAACUCUAAACGAGAUCGGGAGACGAGGUUGGUAUAUCAAAUAUGCGACACAGACACAUCGCAAUUUCCUUUCACAACAAGCAUAACGAAUCUCUUUAUCCAACGCCUCCGGAGCAUAGAGCGCGUCAGAAAGCUCAGAUGACCAAACCUAUGCACUGUGAGACUAAAGACAGUCAAUCAAAGCACGAACCUUGAUAAUAAAAUCUGUCAUCAACUCAGCAUCAGUCUUCUCAAGAUUACGAAGUUGAUCCCUAAUUGAUUGUGAAUUGUAAGACUUGCGAGAAGAUAAGUGUGUUUCCAACAUCUUCCAACAAUCCGCAGCAGUUUUGUGAUUCAUAACUAGAGAAAACAUGGAAGCGUCUUCUGACGCUUGAAUCCACCCUAAAACAACACAGUUCUUCUCUUUCCAAGUGGUAAAUUCUGGAUUGAUCGAACUGUCGGCAUUCUUUUCUGUAGGAGCCGCUUGAGAUCCAUCAACCACAUUUUGAAGAUGAUGAAUUUUCAAAACAUUUAAAAACUGUGCCCUCCAAAAUAGAUAUGUAUCUACACGCUCGAAAGGAACAUGUAUCCAAUGUCCAACCUGUAAUCUAUAGAUACUAUCUGGAAGAGAAGGAGACAAGCUUGAUGUCGACAUCUCAACAGAAAAGAAAACAAAGAGAAGCAAAGAACAAACAAUAAUCCAACAAAAGAACUAAAAUCGAGAAGCACUGAAAAUUAAAUCAACAUUAUAUCACUGAAAUCAGAAUAUAAUAGCAAUGACUUAUAGAGAAAUUUAUAGAUGAUAGUAUUUCCUGAUUAAUAAUUGAAGAGACUUAUACAAAUUUAUUUAAAUGAAUGAAAAUUAUAUAGACUUUAUUCAGACAAAACAAAUCAAAAAUCACAGUUUAGUACACAUUUGUAAUUCUACUAAGUGAAGUAAUCCAGAGAUCCAAUCGGAAAUUAAAAAAAAAACAAAUCAAAUCAAAUUGAAAUCGAAAACUAACACGUAUCUGAAAAUUGAAAUCAAAUCUAACACGUAAUUUGAAAAUUGAAAUCAAAUCUGACAUGUAAAUUGAAAUCAAAUCUCCACGACGAAAUGCAGAAAUAAUACAAGAAGAAAACUAUGCAGAAACGAUGAAAUCACGACGGAAAAACACAAUCGCAAUCCGCGAAAACGAUGCAGAAAUCAAAUUCGUGAUUUCAAAACGAUGAAAUCGAUUUCAAAUCAGUGAUGAAAUCGAUGAAAUCAAAACGAUGCAGAAAUCGAAAAAGAACUCCAAGACGGAACUUGUCAAGAAUCCAGUCGCGACCGUGGCUCGCGAGACGGAACUCGCGAAUCCGAUCGACGACGCUACGAUGAACUAAUCCAAUCGGCAAAUCGGCGAUGAAUAGGACAAAAUUGGCAAAAGAAAUCUGUAGACGACUCUGAAUGAAAUCGGGAAAAAAAAACAAAUCGAUGUCGCUUAUCCAAUCCGCGAUAACACAUGCGAAAUUAGAAACGACGACAGACGAAAUCGGAAGAAAAAAAACGAAAUCAAGAAAUCGAGUUGCUCAAAAGAGGGGAAAAAAAACAAGAAUCGAUUUAAGAACGGAAGCAAGAAUCAAGAUCUAUACCUGCGAUCGAAGGAGAACCCAACUGAUACCAUGUGAGAUUUAUCAAUCCUCGAUGGGAGCGGCAAAUCUGAGAAACCAAUCCUUGUGUUUACCAAAUGUAAAAAUGUAUUAUCGAAAGUGAAAAAGUCAAAUGUAAUUACAGUAUUUAUAUCAAUUAUUAUACUAAUUAACUAAUACACACAACUAAUAGUCAUUAGUGUGAACUUAAUAAUAAGUGUAUUUGUGUCUUAACAUGCACAAGGCAACUCCGACAGAAAUUAAUGCACUCUGGAAUCCAGAUUCUACAGCUACGAGACAUGAUACACUUCGUAUUAGGGGAAGGGAGACCAGAGCUUCUUGGAUCUCUUACAAUUGAAAGAAAUUAUAAUACUCAAGAUCGAUUUCCUUUAUUCCAUAAUAACGUGGCUUUAUAUAGCCUUACAAAUACUAACAAAUAUGAAAACAAAUCAUAAAUUGUUAAAUCAACAUGCAUGAAAAGAAAUAAUAAACGUAGAUGGAAAUCAGGAAAUAAAUAAUUUAAUGUUAAAUGCAGUGUAGAGGAUCGAACGUAUCAGGACAUGUCUCAAGUAAUCAUCAGUAUGUUCAUCUACAUAAAUCUUUUUCGAACCAUCCAGGUAUAGUGGUUGUAGAUGGUGCGGCAGUACCAGUUGAAGGAGUUGGAGAUUCAAUCUUCUCCAAGAAUAAUCAUAAUAUUUAUGUUAAUUAUAUUUCUGUGGUUCCAUCAGUAGCAAGAAAUUUGCUAUCAGUCUACAAGCUUUGCAAUGAUAACAACUUCGGAAUGUGGUUUGACAAAUCAUGUGUAUGUCUAUUGGACUUGCAGACUGAAGAAUUGGUAGCAAAAGACAGAACUGUGAACGGAAUGUAAGAGCUCAAUCUGGACGAUGCGAGAACGAGAACGGAGGUCAACAAGGUGAAAUCUGUCUCGAUGGAUCUGUGGCAUUAUCGCUUGGGUCACAUUUCAUCAAAAACAACUUUGAACAUUGUUAAACUUUUUUAUCUUCCUGUGAAUUUAGUAAAUAAAGAUCUUAAUUGUCGCUUAUGUGUAAUGACUAAACAUCAUUGUCUUCCCUCAUAUACACGUCCGAAAAAUUCUGUAUCAAAUCUGUUAGAUAUUGUUUAUGCAGAUCUUUGGGAUUCGGCACCAAUACCUUUUACAUACGAACAUACAUUUUUAUUUUAUCAAUUUUGUUGAUGGGUUCUCCAAGAAUAAUUGGUAACAUACAUUUUUAUUUUAUCAAUUUUGUUGAUGGGUUCUCCAAGAAUAAUUGGUUAUUUCCCCUAAUAGCACAAUCCGAUGCAUUAAAGGUGUUUAAAUUGUUCAAAGUAUUUGUUAAAAAUCAGACGGAUCGGAAGAUAAAGGCUCUACAAACAGACAAUAGAGGCGAAUUUUUAUCAUUCAGGGGAUAUCUAGCAGAAUGUGGCAUUGAGCAUCAUCAUUCUUGUCCAUAUAUUCAUGCACAAAUGGGAAUUGUAGAGAGACGCCACAGACAUAUCGUAGACAUCAGGCUUGCCUUACUCCAUCACAGAAACAUUCCUCUCAGAUUCUGGCAUCAUGCGUUUGUCACGGCAAGUUUUCUCUACAAUCGAACUUUGACUACCUCACUUGCCGGCGACUCACCCUUCAAGGUUUGGUUCGGUGAAUCCUCAAAUUAUUCAGAUCUUCGGGUAUUCGGAUGUCUUAUUUAUCCAAAUCUACACCCACUUCGCAAAAAUAAAUUCAGUUUCAGAUCGGACCCUCACAUUUUUUUUAGGCUACCCACAGAACCACCGGGGGGUAUUUGUGUUAUAAUCCUAAAACAAACAAAUUUAUUAUUUCAAGGGAUUGUGUAUUUUUUGAAACAGAUUUCAGCCAAAAUAAACAACUAAUAGAAUCGCAAGAAUCCAUCAAGUCAUCAGGAUUUUUCGAUUCAAGUAUUCCUGGUCCACUGACAUCAGCCCAAGUUGACCCGAUAGAUUCAAACUCAAGGCAGCAGGACACGAUGUCAGACUCUAUCACAGAGGUCGAAUAUAAUGAUCAAGGCUUUGGUCAACAAAUCACAUCACCUUCAGCCUUCAGAUCAACAAUCAGGGACAGUAACAAAUCCCUAUAAAAUAUCAUACCACAAUUAAUGUCUUUAUUUUUAUUUAUCAUUAUUAGAGUAUAAUUUGUUAUUAAUUGUAACAAACUCUCCGCAAUCUGUUAUGGGGUUGUUAUCUCUCUAAUUGUAUAUAUAUAUACAUAAUACAAUAAUAAAGUGUCAAUGACUCAUCGAUCAUUAGCCCCAAAUACUACUGAGUUCAUUUUCCUCCUACCUCAUUCUUCAUCGUCGACAUCAUGUCUUCAACCUAUGAGGUAAUCUCAUCCAAUAUGGUAUCAGAUGGUGUUGCUGAUCUUACGGCCACAGCUCCGUUACAUCAUUUGGGUACUCCGAUUCCAGCGAACAUCGUAUCUGUUCCAAUGAUCACCCACCUGAUGGAAACAAUGGGCUACAUCAAUAACACUUUCGCACAUUCAAUUCUUGUACUCAACUACACAGGAAACACCUCAUCAAAUCAGAUCGGUGGCCACUUUUUCCAUCAGGCCGGCGGUCCAUUUCAAAAUCAGUUCGGCGGCCAUCUCCUUCAAGUUGGACAGCUCAAUCAGGUCAGUACGACUCUGAAUCAACCGUUCAAUCACGUCGGCGGUCUUUAAAUCGGGAAUCCAGCAUCUGACGGAGCUUCGCGAUCGAUCUUCGUUCGGCGGUUCUCAAAUCGAGCAUCCAGGAGGCGGAAUCUCCCCAAAUCAGGUCGACGGAACCUCUGAAUAUCACUUCACUACCAAUCUACAAAUUCCAUACAGCACAUCGGGUCCAUCUUCACAUCAGGUCGGAUCCACUUUUCCAAUCACCGGAAACCCCGAAUUGCUCGUUGGAACUCCAUCCUUCGGCUCGAUCCAGAGCUUUCUCCAUAUAAAGCUCAAAAGUACCAACUAUCUUAUAGAAGUGUCGUAUAUUCAAUAAAUAGACUUCCUUUAAAACCAUUAGGUUUUGAAUCACCUUUUUCGGUUUUAUAUAACAAAAACUCGUAUCUGG
Molecule: long non-coding RNA, 5899 nt
Filed under: Zostera marina
Lineage: Eukaryota; Viridiplantae; Streptophyta; Magnoliopsida; Alismatales; Zosteraceae
Description: long non-coding RNA (ZMAR_LNC003527)
Source: RNAcentral